AUGUGGCACAUAAAAUAGGGAAUUCACUAUUUAUUCCUUUUAUACAACUUUGAGUAUUACAAAUCCUACCCCCCUUAAAAAUAAUCUCGUCCUCGAGAUUUAAGAAGAUCUAGGGAAAAAGGUGGGGAAAAUCUAUACGAAGCUCUUCUUCUCUUUCCCAAGUUGCUUCACCUUCACCGUGGUGGCUCCAUUGCACUUUGCACAUCUUUAUCACCUUAUUUCUUGUAACUCGAGUCAAAGUGUCAAGAAUCUUGAUAGGAUACUCCUUGUAAACCAAACCACACUGAACACUGAGCCCUUCCAUUGGUAACUGUUCUUCAGGCACCCUGAGACAUUUCUUCAGCCGAGAUACAUGAAAUACAUCAUGAACAUCCGCAAGAUGAUCCGGUAACUCCAAUUGAUAUGCAACCUCUCCCACUCGCUUUAAGAUUAAGAAGGGUCCAAUAAAGCGAGGGGACAACUUUCCUUUGACUUUGAAUCUUCUCAUACCCCGGAGUGGUGACACCUUUAAAUAGACAUAAUCUCCUUCCUCAAACUCAAGUAGUCUUCUCCGGGUGUCUGCAUAACUUUUCUGCCUGGAUUGUGCAGUACUCAAAUUCUCCCUUAUUUGCUGAACUUGUUCCUCUGCUUCUUGUAUAAUCUCAGGUCCAAACAACUGCCUUUCACCAGUUUGAUUCCAAUACAAGGGAGUCCUGCACUUUCUGCCAUACAAAGCCUCAAACGGUGACAUCUUCAAGCUGGCCUGGUAGCUAUUAUUAUAUGAGAACUCCGCAUACGGCAAACUCUUAUCCCAACUACCACCAUGUUUAAGAGCACAAGCUCUUAACAUAUCUUCAAGCACUUGGUUAGUCCUCUCAGUCUGCCCAUCAGUCUGGGGAUGGUAAGCCGAACUGAAAUUCAAUCUUGUAUCCAAUGACUCGUGCAACUUCUUCCAAUACCGAGAGGUAAACUGUGAUCCUCGAUCAGACACGAUCUUCUUUGGCACACCAUGUAAGCAUACAAUCCGUGCCAUGUACAACUCUGCCAACUUGGCACCUGAAUACGUGGUCUUCACUGGAAUAAAGUGGGCUACCUUGGUUAGCCUGUCCACAAUCACCCAUAUAGAAUCAUAACCAGC
This 1117-nucleotide long non-coding RNA is filed under the name Zea mays. RNAcentral's name for it is "drought responsive lncRNA". The record is from RNAcentral. Lineage: Eukaryota; Viridiplantae; Streptophyta; Magnoliopsida; Poales; Poaceae.